GAUGAACGCUGGCGGCGUGCCUAAUACAUGCAAGUCGAGCGAACAGAUAAGGAGCUUGCUCCUUUGACGUUAGCGGCGGACGGGUGAGUAACACGUGGGUAACCUAUCUAUAAGACUGGAAUAACUCCGGGAAACCGGGACUAAUGCCGGAUAACAUGUUGAACCGCAUGGUUCUACAGUGAAAGGCGGCUUUGCUGUCACUUAUAGAUGGACCCGCGCCGUAUUAGCUAGUUGGGGAGGUAAAGGCUCACCAAGGCAACGAUACGUAGCCGACCUGAGAGGGUGAUCGGCCACACUGGAACUGGGCCACGGUCCAGACUCCUACGGGAGGCAGCAGUAGGGAAUCUUCCGCAAUGGGCGAAAGCCUGACGGAGCAACGCCGCGUGAGUGAUGAAGGUCUUCGGAUCGUAAAGCUCUGUUAUUAGGGAAGAACAAAUGCGUAAGUAACUGUGCGCGUCUUGACGGUACCUAAUCAGAAAGCCACGGCUAACUACGUG
RNAcentral lists this ribosomal RNA (497 nucleotides) under uncultured bacterium. RNAcentral's name for it is "partial 16S ribosomal RNA". It matches the Rfam family "Bacterial small subunit ribosomal RNA", at positions 28 to 507 of the family's 1533-position model. The record is from RNAcentral.